CUCCGCUUCGUGGUUCCGUUCCGCUUCCUCCUCUCCUAGGAAGAGAGCGUCGUUCCUUUGCUAGGAGUGAGAGUUUGUUUCUCUGUUUAUGUGUUUACUUCAGGAAAAAGCGAAUUCGAAUGGCCUUGCUUUUCGAAUACAUGUUCCGUGGGAAAGUCAUUUUCAAGGACCACUUCCGAUUUGGACCGCGUUGGGCUCCAUAGCAACCCCCGGCGCUGACUGGCGCGUGAUGUCGGCCUCCGGUGGCUGUGGGAAGCUUAGGAAGAAAUUUCUCCUGAACCGAGGAAGCUGGCCUAUGGAAGCGGGAGUUCACCAAAAUACGUUUAUUUCCGUUGACACACACAAUAUGGAACUGUCAUAAAUAUGUGUUGUUUGGAGGACUUAAUUUAUCUUACUUGCGAACCCAGUUAACACGGCUGCAAAGGUGAUCUAGUCACCGAAUCAUGGAAUGUUAGAGAGCUGAAAGGGACGUCGAAGGACUUCGAGGCCAAUCCUGAGAAUUAACAGAACUAACAUCUGGAGAAGUGAAGUAAUUCUUCCAAGUGUAUAGGCAGUUGUGGCACGGUUGAAUUACAUUACACACCACCCCGAAUAACUAGCUUUAUAGAGACUCAAGUGUACCAUAAGCUCAUAGAACGAAGGUAAUCCAGAUCUGAGCUCAGAGUGCUGUUCUGGAGUCUCUGUUACUCCAGUCUAGCCCUGUUGCACAGUGGUAUUGACACGAAGUCCUUGGAAACCACCAAUCAUUCUCCAGGGCCAUGAGUUGCUGAGGGAAUAUGAAAGACAGUGGAAUAGUACUCAAGGAAGAAGCCCAAGCCAUGAAAGUCCACCCAGAUGCAGCCUGCUGCUGGGCCUCUGCCUGCCACGCCCGUUCCUGCCUUGACCUUCCACACACUGGUCUCCAAGUCUCAAGUUCUCUGUUAUGUAUCUCUAGCUACACACAACCUGGUAACCUGUUGUAAUUCCCACUCCCUCUCAUCUACUCUCUUCACCUAAUCUGUUCUUUCAGUCCUGUGGACCUGAUUACCUACCCAGUUUCCUUAAACAGUCCAUAUUACGAGCCAGCCCUCAUGGCCUGGUGGUUAAAGUUCAGCCCUCUCACCGCCUCCGGCCCAGGUUCAUUUCCCCCUUGCAGAACCCCACCACCCAUCUGUCAGUUGCCAUGCUGUGGUAGUGGCUCACAGAGAAGAACUAGGAGGACUUACAACCAGGAUAUACAACCAUGCACUGGGGCUUUGGGGAGGGAAAAAAACCCAGAAAAACAGUUCAUGCUGCUUCAUGUUUUGGACCUUUGUUAUUUUGUGUGUUUGGCUGUAUUGUAUUAAUUAUCCAUCCCUGCAUAAAAGUUUGCCCCAAAACGUAAUAGCUUAGAGCAAUCAAUAUUCUUCUCUCUCAUGGUUUCUGCUGAGGAGCUCAGCUGGGUGGUUCUGGCUCAGAGUCUCUGCUAACAUUGAAGUCAAGCUGUCAGCUGGGGCUCUACUCACCUGAUAUCUUGACUGAGGCUGAAGGAUCCCAUUCCAAGUGGCUCACCCACAUGCCUGGCAAGUUAAUGUUGGUUGUUGACAGGAACCCUUUGCUCCUUGCCAUGUGGAUCUCUCCAGAGGGCUGCUUGAGUGUCCACACAACCUAACAAUGCGCUUCCCCAGAGUGAAUGAUGAAAGAGUGAAUGAGGAGGAAGUUACAAUGUUUUGUAUGACUUAGACUUGUAACUCACACUGCGGUUUCUGUAAUAUCGUAUUCAUUACACAGACCACGCCUAUUCACUAUGGGAGGGGACUACACCAGGGUGCAAAUAUCAGGAGUGGAAACUUGCUGGGGGCCAGCUGACUGCCACAUCAGGCCAUCGUCACCAAGUCAGCCCCACCUCCGGAUUACUACAUGCCCAUUGCCUCUGCCUUCAGACCAGUGUUACUAGAAGGUUUGCAGCCUGAAGUUGCUCAUUUUAACACCACCAAAGCAAAGUCUGUAAAUUUAUUCUCAAAGAGGGAAAUGCCUUUCUCCCUCUAAAGGUAACCCCUCCGCUAUACCUACUGCUCCAUCCCUCCCCAGUUCAGUUCUUCUGAGGGAGCCUCGCUGCUAAGCAGAUUCAAUCCAGGGAAAACCCCUCUGCCUGCUCCUCACCUCUGCCCUGCCCUGUCUGUCUCACCGUUUGACUAACACCUCCCUUGACUCCCACAUUUCCUGGAGAACACCUGUUUGCCGUGGACUUUGGACAUUUCAUCUGACUCAACCCUCUGAUGUUUAUGUACUUUUAAUUUCUAUGACUUAACAUAGCUGACUCAUCGCUGCCUUGUGUGUGUUUUGCUUCCUUCUCUGAUUGGUGGUUCAACUGAUUCACACAGCCUGAUAUCAGGCGAAUGUGUCCUAGCAACUGCAGCUUGGCACGCUCCUCCAAUUUAUUUAUUUAUUUAUUUAUUUAUUUGGUGAGGAAGACUGGCUCUGAGCUAACAUCCAUGCCCAUCUUCCUCUACUUUCUAUGUGGGACGCCUACCACAGCAUGGCUCGCCAAGUGGUGCCAUGUCCACACCCGGGAUCCAAACCAGUGAACCCUGGGCCACCAAAGCGGAACUUGCGCAAUUAACGGCUGUGCCACCAGGCCGGCCCCCAGGAGAAUUUCUUGGUGUAGGAGCACUCUCCCAGGAUACAAGAGUUAGUAUCCUGGCAAGGACCAGGAGAUAAUGCAAAAUUGCUGCCAGGGGCCUCCUAGAAGCCUGGGAAAGUGAGGGCCAAUGAAAAGUGAGGUUGAAUUGUCUAAAUUUCUGGGGUCGACAGUAGAGGAAAGGAUUAAAAGACUCAGAAAAGUGGAUGAGCUGGAAUAGAUAUAUCAUGUUAGGCCAGAAGAUGCACCAGAGGAUUGGGCUCCACAGGAUGGCUCAGAGGAAUCACAUUCAUCAAAGCUCUCAGAAACAUACUGGUGAGAGGACACCAAUGUCACUAAGAAGUUCAGUCAUGCUUCCCCUGAAGGACAUAACUGAUGGAAGGAGGGCCUGUCCUGGAACCUGGCUCGCUAACACCAACAGGGAUGAUAGGCCCCUGAUGCAAUAGACACCAUGUAAUGGCCCUUCACGGCAGAAGCCAGGGGCUCGUAGCAACAAAGGCAGAGUGGCAGCCAGGGGGCCUGACCUGUAGAGAGCUGUAGAGACUGUGAAUAGAACAGAGUUUCCCUAGAAGGAAAACAGAUGUGUAGCAUACAAAAUACUGUUUAACAUAUGCAAUCUAAAGAGAACAAGAAUUGAUAAGCAGGACAAUGAGGAGGACAGUUACCCCAAUAAAAAGUCACAAUUCCUGUCCCGGUUUCCAUACUUGAACGAAUGUACAGACUCAGAACCAAGUAACUGAAGAGGUGGCCAGGUCCCCAGGGAGAAGAACCUGCAACACAAUGGCAAGAAUGAGCUAUGGUUGUUCCUCCAGUCCUUCCCCAAGGAGAUCUACAGCAUUUAUGGGGAUGACAGAACACUGGGCAGGGAGUACCCAGACAUUUUGGUGACUGUUGGGCACAAGGUCAGAGGUCGACUGAUACUCUGCCAACUGAAGCAUCUUCAUGACCCCCGUGUUAGAGUGGGAGCAAAUAGGUCCAUCUUACGACAGGUCCCCUGGGUCCAUGAAUGCACUGGUUGUCAUUCCUCUAGCUCCAAAAUGUAUAGUUGGCAUUGACGUACUUGGAAGUCGGGCUAACCCUCUAUUGCAUCCUUGUGAUCCUUCCGUACUGUGAUAGCUCUCACCUGUUAAUGUACCCAGCCUUUGUCAGAGCCCCCUCUCCCCUCACUGCUGUAUGAUGGGUGCCUGAACAAAGAGGCUAUGGUGGCAGAGAUGGAGGUGAUGUACGGACUGUCAUUUGCCCAAAUGAACACAGUUACUGCCACCUCUGAAUGUCCAAUCUACCAGCCAUAAAGACCAAUGCUAAGUUCUAUUCUUUAAGGAGACCAAUAGGCUACUUGGUGACCAGUUGACUACAUUGGGCCCCUUUUGUCCUGGACGGGCCAGCUGUUUGCUCUGACUGGAAUAGACAAUGAUUCUGGGUAUGGGGUUGCCUUUCCUGCCUGAAGGACCUCAAUAGCACCACUCUCUGGGGGCUUAAAGAUCGCCUGAUCCACAGACAUGGAAUCCCACAUAACAUAGCAUCUGACUAGAGGACUCUCUUGAUGGCACAGGAAAUGGGGGAGUGGUCCAUGAACAUGGGAUCCGCUGGUCAUAUCACACACCUCACCAACCAGGAGCUAUUGGAUAGAUAAAGUACUGGAAUGGCCAGUUAAAGAUGCAGCUCAAGCUCCAGCAUCAAGGCAGAACACUGCAGUGAUGACAUCUUCUCCAGGAUAUCAUCGGAUAUGUGGUCAAUCAGACAACUUAAUAUGGUACUGUGUCCCCAAGAGUAAGAAUACAUGAGUCCUGAAACAAUGGAUAGAAGCUUGAGUGGCCCCCAUUAGCAUCAUUCCAAUGACCCACUUGGUUCCCUGUCCCCACAACUCUGGGCUCUGCAGAGUUAGAGAUCUUAGUCUCCAAAAGGGGCACAUUCUCAACUGGAGCACAGCAAAGGUCCCAUUGGACAAUUUAUGGCUGCCACCAGGCACUUUGGCCUCCAAAUGGUCAGAGACUAGCAGGUAAAGCAAGGAAUCGCUGUGUUAUCAGAGGCAAAUUGACUUGGUCAGCAGGAGGAGGUAAGGCUGCUGUUAGAGGGGGCAGGGAGGAAUAUGGAUGGACUCUAGUGACCUAUUUGGGUGACAUUUGGUACUCUUUUGCCCAAUUGUGACUGUGAUUGGACAUGACAAGAGCAGAAAGCCAGGUCUGAGAUGGUGCUCAGACCCCUUAGGAAUGAGGAUUUGGGGUUCUCACUCAGGUAAGCUACUGAGACCAGCUGAGGUGGUGGCUGAGGGGGAGGGGAAUUAGAAUGGAUAGUGGUGGACGGACAUGAUGAAGGCAAGUUGCAAGCUUGCAACUGAUUGCAGUGACAGGGGCUGUGGUCCAUCCCAUUAACUUCUCUCUUCUAAGUUUUCUUUCAGGAAGAGUGGCCCAUCAGAACUCUGAAGGAGCUGUUCCCUGAAUACGGAUGGAGAAAUUGAUCCACGUGGCACAAAGGGUGCACAAUAGCGGAUUCCUCAGGGCACCAAUGGGUUACUCAGAUCCUCCUUCAAGCCAGGCCUUGCUGCUCAUCUGCAAGGAGUAUGUUUAGCUGAUAGUCUCCAGCUUUAGCUCCUUCAGGAUCCGCCCCACGGUUUGAGCUGAAGUCACACAUUUCUUCAUGGCCGCCACCAAUGACCAAGCAAGGCAGGAGUACAAGGGCCUGGGCCUUUCUGCCCAAGGCUAGACUCCUGCUCCCCAUCGGGCUGGCAGAGACUUUGUCAAGUCUGCACCACCAUCUGACAGCUCACACAGAUCAGUCCUGCCUCUUCCGUUGACUUUCUCUGUUUUACGCUCCAGGAAAUCUUCUGUACUCUUAAUUCCAUAUCAGUAUCUGCUUCUCGGAGAAGCCAACCUGUGACAACACAAAUUUUAGUAUUUCCCCAAAUGUCUGCUUUUCCCUUCCCACAACCCCCUACAUGGUUUUACGUGGCCUUGAAUUGAUGGGAUUUUAUAACUCUAUUCCUAACCACUCUGGCCAAACCAUGCUCUUUCUUUUCUAAUCUCCUAUAAACCCACUGUAAUAUUCAACCACUGAUUCCCUUGUGUUUUAAUGUUUUUUCAUGUCUUCCCAAACACAAGCUCCUUGAGUACAGGGACUAUUUCUUAAACUUCUGCAUGUUGGUGUGACUAAGUAAGGGCCACACAGAAGAUGCUAUGCUGAAUUUAAUUGAUUUGGUAAUGAAAGCUCAGUCCCUGGGAACCUGUCAGACCACAAAUAAGGCCAAGUGGAGUGAAAGGCAACUGUAGAAGAAAUUGCUAAAGGGAACAAGAAGUCAGAUGACCCUGUGUGGGCCCCAGGUUUGGCUGGUUUUCAUUACUAACGUACUCUAUUCCUGAGAUACAGUUCAUCUCCCACGAAUUACCAAACUGAGGAGAAUUCCCAGUAAUCAGUUUGAAGAAUUUCUAGUUUGACAACCAAAUUCUACCAUUUUAAAAAUAGGUUUAUUUAUUGAUUUGUUUAGGUGAGGAAGACUGGUCCUGAGUUAACAUCUGUGCCAAUCUUCCUCUAUUUGCAUGUAGGACACCGCCACAGCAUGGCUUGAUGUAGGCCUGCACCUGGGAUCUGAACCCACGAACUCCAGGCAGCCAAAGCAGAGUGUGUGAACUUAACCAUUAGGCACCAGACAGCCCAAAAAAGGUUUCUUUCUAAUCUGAUCAAUGACCCACUUUUUUAAUCAGGAAACUAGGAGCAACAACUCUCUUCCAACUUCCAAUUUUUUCCUCUUCCAACUUGGGUCCAAGGAUUGGAGGCCUGCAAAUUAACUGAAAAUAGACAGAUUAACAGGAGAAAAAAUAAGAUUUAUUUACACAAUGGGAUGAGGGGAGCGCCCAGUAAUGGAAAACUCCUGGAAUAGCCAGAAGUAACUUUCUAUGUCUCAAUUUAACAAAAGGAGGGUUCUUUAGGACUUCAUCGGGAGAGUAUGGAAGGUUCUAUUGGGCUUUUUGAUGCUAAUAGAAAUGGG
Molecule: long non-coding RNA, 6581 nt
Organism: Equus caballus (horse)
Lineage: Eukaryota; Metazoa; Chordata; Mammalia; Perissodactyla; Equidae
Source: Ensembl